RNAcentral lists this non-coding RNA (25 nucleotides) under Rattus norvegicus (Norway rat). The record is from RNAcentral. Lineage: Eukaryota; Metazoa; Chordata; Mammalia; Rodentia; Muridae.
UCCAGUGGGUUUUUCUUGGGGUGUC